CAGUGGUGCAUUAAGUUUGAGUAAGUGUUGCAGGAGUUUAAGUCUUCUGAAACAACGUGCUAUGGAAAGAUGAGGCAGAGACAGAGUUCUAAAGACGUGCAGGAACACACCUUUCAUAUAGACAGGCGCGACUAAUUUUGCCUGAAGGCAACUAGAAACAACUGUUGUGCAGCCAUGUGGAACCACAGUUACAGCAAACUGUGACUUGAUUUCCAUACCUGGACAUGCUACAAAACUGGUUGUUUCCCCAACUUCAAGAAGAUUCGAAUGACUUAAUUUUCAAGCAAGAUGGUGCCCCACCUCAUUUCCACUUGGAGGUCCAGUGUUACCUGAACAACACCAUUCCAGGACGAUGGAUUGGAAGAGGUGGACAACAAAAUCUUGCUCAUCAAAUAUGGCCUCCCAGGUCUUCAGACCUUACCCCUAGCAAUUUUUAUCUAUGGGUGUACAUUAAAGAAAGAGUGUUUGUUCCACCUAUGCCCGCUAAUCUUCAAGAUCUGUGACAUCGAAUUGAGGAAGCUGUGAAUUCAGUAGCUAAGGGACCAGUUGACUCAUGCUUUCGAGUUUUAGAUUUAUGCUUUUGGUGCUUGGGUUUUCAUCAUUGAGGAAUCCAAACUGAGUAUUAGGUUGUAUUUUUCUUUUGUAAUUAUGAUAAUUGAAAUGUAUUUGUAAUGUUUUGGAUAAGAUUUCAUUUUUUACAGGCACCACUAGGUUUAUGGGGUUUUGAUUCCCCAUUGCUAUUGUUCUGGAUCCUGAAAAUUCUCUUCAUGUCAUACUGCUAGCAUGAUGGAAAAGAAGUUCACUUCUGACAUCAUAUAUCUGUCUGAGGUUGUUUUUCUUACAGUCGUAACACUCCUAACUUUAAAGAUUGUGUAAUAUACAAUAUAUUCUAAUAUACAAAGCAAAUGUAAAACAAACUAACCCUGAACUUUACAACUAAAAAACUUUAAUAAAAUAAACAAACAUUGGCAGAAGUUAAA
Polypterus senegalus (gray bichir) is the source of this 980-nucleotide long non-coding RNA. RefSeq lists it as uncharacterized. Lineage: Eukaryota; Metazoa; Chordata; Cladistia; Polypteriformes; Polypteridae. The transcript has 4 exons. The record is from RefSeq and is a predicted model, not a curated record.